UUCGCAUCCUCUGCUGGUGCUUACCCAACAAGACUUCACUGAACAUCUGCUACACACAAGUGCGCCUGGGGUGGACGAGGGGCUGGAUGCUGAGAAGGACAGUGUGGGCUCAGCCCACUCCCUAGGAGACGGUCAUUCAUGUUACUGCCAUUUUUUCGGAGGAGAUUUCCCACACGUAUUUUGCUCCGGGUUACACGGGCAAGAAAUGGCAGAGAUGUGAGUCAUCGCCAAAGACACUGUACUGUGCGGUUGGAGGAGGUGUCCUGGAGGUGGGUGGCCUUUGAGUUGGACCUGGAAAAAUUUGGAAAAGUCAAGAAAAGAGGAUGGAGCCUACUAGAAGAGAAGGGAGACUCGCAGACAUGACAAGGAGACAAGUGUGCCUGUCUUGGCUGUCUGGUCUACACAACAGAAGGCAACUCUGGCUGAUUUGAGUUAAGAGAGAAAGGAGAACCAGGUGCAGAAGCUAGGCUGACUGGCUCACAGAGAAGGCCACCUUGAACAUGCUCAUCGAGACCGGCCGGCUCAUGGGUCCGCAAAAGGCGUCAUGCACCGAGAGAGGCUGGUCUCCACGGAGCCAUGGCAGAGAGCCUGGGCUUGGCAAGAGCGGGGGCACCUUCUGUGGGCCCAUCCUGUGUGCGCGGCAGAUCAGACCCCCUCACAUUGCCCAAGUGCCCUCUGGCCAAGGCCUGUUUCAGGGAACGGGGAGUCUGGCCCAGCCCUGGGGCCUCAGGCAGUGGGAGACCUUACCCUCUGAAGGCUUGAUGCCUUCUCUGACAGGGGAAGCUGGGGUCGAGAUUAAGGAUACCUAAUUCCCUUCAAGUAUCGCCUUCUUUAAGAAGCCUUUCCACAAAGGACUGAAAAUAUUUGCAAUUCAAGUCAUUGCAAAAGAUUGAUUUCCCUGGUAAAUAAAGAGCUCCUACAAAUCAUUAAGAAAAAUAAACAACCCCAUAGGAAUCUGGGCAAAGGAUAUAAACAAACAGCUCACAAAAAGGUAGUAGGAAGGGCACUACACCCAAUGACAUGGGGAAAAGACUGACUCUCCCUCCUGAUGAGGAAAGUCCGACGGAAGUGUCCCUGAGAUGCUACUCCCUCUUCAUCCCCAGGCAGCUCAAGACCCCGUUAUCAGGGUGUGGUACAGGAGCAUGCUGCCAGUCGGUGGGCACGGUGUGCAAACACUGUGGAGAUGGAUCUGACCCAGCGCCUCUGGAAGGUCACGUGGCAGGACCUCAACACUGCCGCUACCCUGCAAAUCUGCCCCUAGAGGUGCAGCCUACCUCUGAUGUGCAAGAUCAUGCUACACGGACAGGAUGGUUUACUGAAGCACUUUCCAUAUCAUCAAAGACUGGAAACCACCGAAAGGUCCAUCACUAGGGAGUUGGUUAAAUAAUUUAUGGCAGAUUUGCACAGUGAGUACUAUGCAGUCAUUUACAAAAAGGUAGUAGGGAGCACCUUUAUGCGCUAACGUGAGCUCCAAGAUACAUAUUUAAGUGAAAAGGGCAAGGCAUUCAAUGGGAUGUAAUGCAAAAUACGUUGUUAUUUGUGUAAAAGUGAAGAAAACGAAUAUAUAUACAUCUUCACUUUUAUACAGAUGGUAGCGUGAUUUGUAUUAUGUCCAAUACAAUACAGUCUCUGUAACGUGGAGCACGCCGCACACGGUGUAUGCAUGCGUGCUUCUAUACGUCUGUCUGGGUGAGGUCAAAGACCUGUGAACAGUGGCUGCUUCUGGGGAGCAGAGCCAAGAAACGGGAGGCUGGGGACACUGGUGGGAGGGAGGCUUUUCCCUAUAUAUUCUUUGUGUU
Molecule: long non-coding RNA, 1799 nt
Organism: Mirounga angustirostris (Northern elephant seal)
Lineage: Eukaryota; Metazoa; Chordata; Mammalia; Carnivora; Phocidae
Exons: 3
Source: RefSeq, a predicted model, not a curated record